GAUGAACGCUGGCGGCGUGCCUAAUACAUGCAAGUCGAGCGAACAGAUAAGGAGCUUGCUCCUUUGACGUUAGCGGCGGACGGGUGAGUAACACGUGGGUAACCUACCUAUAAGACUGGAAUAACUCCGGGAAACCGGGGCUAAUGCCGGAUAACAUGUUGAACCGCAUGGUUCUACAGUGAAAGGCGGCUUUGCUGUCACUUAUAGAUGGACCCGCGCCGUAUUAGCUAGUUGGUGAGGUAACGGCUCACCAAGGCAACGAUACGUAGCCGACCUGAGAGGGUGAUCGGCCACACUGGAACUGAGACACGGUCCAGACUCCUACGGGAGGCAGCAGUAGGGAAUCUUCCGCAAUGGGCGAAAGCCUGACGGAGCAACGCCGCGUGAGUGAUGAAGGUCUUCGGAUCGUAAAACUCUGUUAUUAGGGAAGAACAAAUGCGUAAGUAACUGUGCGCGUCUUGACGGUACCUAAUCAGAAAGCCACGGCUAACUACGUGCCAGCAGCCGCGGUAAUACGUAGGUGGCAAGCGUUAUCCGGAAUUAUUGGGCGUAAAGCGCGCGUAGGCGGUUUUUUAAGUCUGAUGUGAAAGCCCACGGCUCAACCGUGGAGGGUCAUUGGAAACUGAAAAACUUGAGUGCAGAAGAGGAAAGUGGAAUUCCAUGUGUAGCGGUGAAAUGCGCAGAGAUAUGGAGGAACACCAGUGGCGAAGGCGACUUUCUGGUCUGUAACUGACGCUGAUGUGCGAAAGCGUGGGGAUCAAACAGGAUUAGAUACCCUGGUAGUCCACGCCGUAAACGAUGAGUGCUAAGUGUUAGGGGGUUUCCGCCCCUUAGUGCUGCAGCUAACGCAUUAAGCACUCCGCCUGGGGAGUACGGCCGCAAGGCUUAAACUCAAAGGAAUUGACGGGGACCCGCACAAGCGGUGGAGCAUGUGGUUUAAUU
RNAcentral lists this ribosomal RNA (942 nucleotides) under Staphylococcus auricularis. Its description in RNAcentral is "bacterial SSU rRNA". It matches the Rfam family "Bacterial small subunit ribosomal RNA", at positions 28 to 951 of the family's 1533-position model. The record is from RNAcentral. Lineage: Bacteria; Bacillati; Bacillota; Bacilli; Caryophanales; Staphylococcaceae.